AAAGUUUUAUUUUAGCUUAAAAAUUUAUUUAUAGUUUAUUUUACAUGUAAAUUUUUGUGUGAAUUUAUAUAUUUCUAAAAGAAUUUAAUAAUUUUUUAUUUUCAGUAAUUAAUAUUAUUUAAUUAAAGAAAUUUAUAAAUAGUAAUAUUAUUUAAUAUUGGUUAAAUUGGUGCCAGCAACCGCGGUUAUACUAAGAAUAUUAAUAAAUUAAAUUAGUUUUAGUUAAAUUGGUAUUUAUUAAAAAAUAAAAUUAAUUUUAUUAAGUGAAAUUUUAAAAUUAAAUAAUUUUUUAUUUAUAAAAAUUGAAGCUAAAAAAUUUUAAUUAUAAACUAGGAUUAGAUACCCUAUUAUUUAAAAUGUAAUUGAUAAUACUAAAGUAGUAAAAGUUAUGUUCUUAAAAUUUAAAGAAUUUGGCGGUAUUUUAGUCUAUUCAGAGGAACCUGUUCUGUAAAUGAUAUUCCACGUUGAACCUUACUUAAAUUUGUUUUAAUAUGUAUACCGCUGUUAUAGAAUAUUUUUUAAGAAAAAUAAUUUUCAAUAAUUUUAAUAUAAAUUAAUAUCAAGUCAAGGUGCAGUCUAUAUUUAAGAAGAAAUGGGUUACAAUAAAAAUAUUUAUAUGAAUAUAAAAUUUAAAGAUUUUAUUGAAGGUGGAUUUGAAAGUAAAAUUAUAAAGAUUAUUAAUUUGAUUUUAGCUCUAAAAUAUGUACAUAUCGCCCGUCGCUCUUAUUUUUAAAGUAAGAUAAGUCGUAACAUAGUAGAUGUACUGGAAAGUGUAUCUAGAAUGA
Molecule: non-coding RNA, 785 nt
Filed under: Exeretonevra angustifrons
Lineage: Eukaryota; Metazoa; Arthropoda; Insecta; Diptera; Xylophagidae
Source: RNAcentral